Taeniopygia guttata (zebra finch) is the source of this 3990-nucleotide long non-coding RNA. The record is from Ensembl. NCBI's taxonomy places the organism in Eukaryota, Metazoa, Chordata, Aves, Passeriformes, Estrildidae.
GCGGCGGGGGCCCGCGGGGAGGCGGGAGCGCGCCCGCCGCCCCCGCCCGUCCAUCAGCACGUGCCGUGGGCGGGAGCGCCGGCGGGGUCCCGGCUGGGAAAGGUGGCCGGGAGGAACCGGCCGGGCCCGCUUCUCCUCCCCGGAAGCCCCUCCGCGGCCUGGGCCGGCUUGGCGCUGGACGCCCGGGCCCCGGCGUUAUCCUGCCUCGCCGGCCCAGCAGCGCUUUCCCCGUGAGGUGUCCCAGCAGCAGUGCAGAAGGAGCUUCAGUGACGGUGCUAUGUGCCAUGGAGGUGGCACAGCUCCCACCUGGGCUGCUGUUUUUAAUCCUUCACUCAACAGUGUGACAGCAGUUGUGCUGCUGAUGUCCUCUUGCCCUUCGCCUGUCCUGCCACUUAGUUACUCUGCAUCAAGAACUUUGCACACAAAGCCAGCUACAGGGGAAAUGAAGAUCACAUGGAUCGUACAGACCUACUCAGUUUCCCUUUGCUGCACACCAAAACACUCUCUAGGCCUUCGGGACACACCAGUAAUUGCUGGUGGGGAGAUGGCUGCCCAGAUAAACUGAGCAUAGAGAAGAACCAGUUGGGAAGCAAUCUGGCUUAUUGGUGCCAAAUAGCCACAUGUGCAUAUAUUGUGGGAAACAUGGGCUUGCUUAUUUUGUUGACCUCUCCACAGUAUAGCUCCAUUUUUGCAUGCUAAUAUCAGAUAGGACUUGUAAAUGUUGUGUACUGCACUCCAGAGUUGUCACCUCUGUAAGAUGAGAGCACGGGCUUUGCAUUCUGGCUCACGUGCAUUUCACCCACAGAUUGUUAGAUGAGCACUUCACUUCUGUAUUAUCCUACACAGAAAAACAAAAGAGGAAGUAUAACUUCAAACCUGUCACCUUCACAGACUCCUUUAAAAUGUAGGCAGGUAAAUACACACCUAAUAAUUGUAUGUGGCCAGAUACUGUGGUGAUAGGCAUUUGCAAAUGCAGGUCUUGUCUUAUUAGACUUUUAGAAAAUUUUUUCCGAUCACCAUCAUCCAGAAAAAUCUGUCAGUGUCCAAAACAAAGCCAGCCUACAAGAAAGACAAAAUCACAGUUUCCAUGCCAAGCAAUACAGAACUCCUGUGCUUAUGUUUAUAAUUUCAAAGGAAAAUAUGAGUCUGCUGUUCUUCCACUCUGUGUACUAUGAAAUUAUAGCAGAAUAGACACUCAAUAUGGAAGAAGAAUGCAACAUGUGUGUGUGCUCCCAAGCAGAACCGAAGCUGUUAGUGCUAGCAUCUCUUCAGUAAUAAUGUGUGCAAAUACAGCCCAGACCUUGUCAGAUGUUAGAUACUGAUUCCAAUCCAGGAUGCAUGAAUUUAGCAACAGGCACUAGCCUUGAAAUGGAUUUAACCUUUUUUGUGAAAUGGAUCGACUUUUUUCAUCCAGUUCCUGGUGUGUAAAUUUGCACAUUGAAGAAAUUGCUGUCUCAACCGGUACUUUUCAAGGCACUUGGGCAUUGAAGAUACCCACAAGUCCCUGUCAGGUCAGGAAUAGUGUUGCUGAGGAUAUGCUUUAGUAUUGUAUUGCUAUGGCAAUUUAAGUUUUGUAUUGCUAUGGCAAGUAAUGCCCAUCUCUACAUUAUUGAGAACUAUUAACUCCUUGUCUUAAUCACAAAAUAAAGUCGGCAAAAAUAAACUACAUUAUGUAAUAUUAGGACUGCAGGAGACCAAACUGCAUCUUAAUCUAAAAUGAUGAAUCAUAAUGACCUUUUGAAAGUAUUUAGAUUGUGAUGGACUGCUGAUGAAAUAUCACAUAGAAAAUACUGGUGUCUUUCAAAACAGUGCAGUACUUAGGUUUCAAAUAUCUCUACCAGAAUAGGUAGAGAGACCUUUUUAAACCAGAAAGUGAACACUUUAGAUGAUGGGCUCUCAGAAAGACCCAGGGCUCCAGCAAGCUAGUUAGCAGCAGCAAUCUUACUUGGUGAGGAUUUUAGGAAUCUGCAAAAACUGAGACACACCAGGUUUAGUAACACUAAGCAUUUAUUUUGUUAAUUGAGCCAUACUCAAAAAACCAAAGUCUGAAAAUCUGAAAAUAAACAUAAGUUUAUUUGACAUUUGGCCAAGAUGACAUGUGGAAGUCUAACAUGAGAUAUAGAAGAAAAAAAAAAAAAGAAAAAAAAAGGAUAGUCUUCCAGCUGCUUUCAUUGUUAUUUCCUCUCCAGGAAUUUCUUAUUAGUUCUUGGAAUCACUAGGGAACUACAAACUUGAAUAUCAAAAGAACAAAGAGGUAUAUAUAGGGAGAAGGUCAGUCAUGUGAUAGGACUUGAUCUUUGUAGAUCCUUCUUCCCUUCAGUCUCUGGAAUUCAGAUGUCUUAAAUCUGUGGUCCAAAUAUAUUUUUGAGGACUGUUUGCAAUUAGAUGAGUAUUUCUCUGUUACUGCUACAAAAAUAAAUAUUCCAUGUUACAUAUUAAAAGACUAUUACCCUUCAGCCAGGGACACAAUUAUUUCACUUAAUAUGACAUGAAUUUGGCUUUGUCUGUUUUUCAGAACUAUUUUACUUGAAAGCAUAUUCUUUUGAUUAUAAAUUUAUUCAGCUGUUUGUUGCUUACAAAAGUCGUGGAUUUUAUUACAUUUUUUUAAUAUAAGCAAAAACAAUUCAAUAAGGCAGAGUCAAAUCUGUGAAGAAAUGUGUUCAUAAAAUUUUUGCUAGUGGAUCAUUGGUAGUAAAGAGGCAAGCCAUGUCCAGCCUAGAGUCCAACCAGUCUGGUGUGGAACUGAGUCUGGGGCAGCACUGGAGAGCACUGUGGCAAUAAUCCAAGGAAUAACAGCUCAAUGAGCAGAGCAUGGGCACAAGGAAACAGAAAUGUUCCCACAGCUCAAGCACUUGGUGCGAUUUGGGCUUACUUGGGUUUCUACAGGGGAUUCUUCCUCAGCCUUGAGCAGGUGGCCAUGGAGGAAGGAGGACACAAUGGCUGUGCCUGUCCCCAGCAGCUGCAGGGUGGGAGCUGAUUCCUCACUGAACUGAUGCCUCUGCUGUGGCAAAGGGCUGCAGUAAUGGGAGCACAUUGCUCUGGGAGACAUCUUCCCAGUCAAGAACCAGAUUUCCCACUGCUUUUUCUGUUUCUUCUGCCUGUGCCUAGUUGAGCUGUAUGAUUUUGUUUUUAUGGAUUCACAUUUACAAAACCCUUGUUGCAGUCUUCUCACCAGGUCGUAAUAAACCCUGAGAUAACUCUCCUUUUAAAUACAAAUUACUUUGUUUUUCUUAAAGCCAGAGCAUUAAAAGUCUUAUCACAGAAAAAGGAAAUAUUUGUAGGCUCAGCAGACGUUUCACCAGGGUGCCUCACUCACAUCAGUUUGUUUGGAGAAUUAGUAAUGUUUUCCCUAGAUGCAUGCACAUAAAAUCCCAAAAGUCUUCAGUUGCUCAGAGAAGAUUAAGUAUUUCAACUAUAGUGCUGAUUUUAAAAUUUAUGUUCUAAUUAUCAGUCAGCGGUGCCAAAUGAUCUACAAGGAAGUUUGAAUUAUACUGAGAGAAGCUGGAUGUUUGUGUUCCUACACCUUUUGUGACAAGAGGUGUUUGUUUCUUUUACAAGUUGGAAUAAUCCUUAGAUCCAAACUCACACUGUAUUAACAGUUCCUCUGUUAAGCCUGAUGCUCAAGCUUUGUCCUGAAACAGGAGCAAUGCUGAAAGCAGAAAUGUUUUUAAAACCUGCUGUUACACAAGGCAAAUUCUUAUCAAUACAGAAAAUUUCUGUCUUGGUGCGUGUAACAGGUUUAUCCUCAGGGGGCAUGGAUUCAAGUGGAAGUGUUUCUGGCAGCUGUAGGAGGGGGUACUGUAGAGAUUUACAAAGAUGGACAUUUAUGAGACUGAAAAUUCUCUGUUCUUCCAAGCUUUUUAAAAUGAAACAGAUCUGAUCCUAUACAAAAGAAAUGAACUAAGUUCAUAUUUUUCUUAUUUUUUCUCAGUUCAAACAUAUCUUUAAACAUGAAUAAAUUGCUGUUAAAUAAAAGCAAAUGCAGCAAAA